ACCGGCGCACGGAUGCGUAACGCGUGGGAAUAUACCCCUAGGUAAGGAAUAACGUAGAGAAAUUUGCGCUAAUACCUUAUAAUAACUUCGGUUCAAAGACUUAUCGCCAAGGGAUUAGCCCGCGUCAGAUUAGAUAGUUGGUGAGGUAACGGCUCACCAAGUCGACGAUCUGUAGGGGGUCUGAGAGGAUGAUCCCCCACACUGGUACUGAGACACGGACCAGACUCCUACGGGAGGCAGCAGUGAGGAAUAUUGGACAAUGGAGGAAACUCUGAUCCAGCCAUGCCGCGUGAGUGAAGAAGGCCUUAGGGUUGUAAAGCUCUUUCAAUUGCGAAGAUAAUGACGGUAACAAUAGAAGAAGCUCCGGCUAAAUUCGUGCCAGCAGCCGCGGUAAUACGAAUGGAGCAAGCGU
Molecule: ribosomal RNA, 412 nt
Filed under: uncultured bacterium
Lineage: Bacteria
Description: bacterial SSU rRNA
Rfam family: Bacterial small subunit ribosomal RNA
Source: RNAcentral